This is a non-coding RNA of Trichonephila clavipes, 75 nucleotides long. The record is from the annotation of a GenBank genome assembly. NCBI's taxonomy places the organism in Eukaryota, Metazoa, Arthropoda, Arachnida, Araneae, Nephilidae.
GUUCCUGUAGCGCAAUAGAUAGCACGCGUUGGACUUCUAAUUCAAAGGUCGUGGGUUGGAAUCCUACCUGGGAUG